ACACGGCCCAGACUCCUACGGGAGGCAGCAGUGGGGAAUAUUGGACAAUGGGGGCAACCCUGAUCCAGCAAUGCCGCGUGUGUGAAGAAGGCCUUCGGGUUGUAAAGCACUUUUAUCCGGAACGAAACGCGCAGGGUGAAUAUCCUUGCGAACUGACGGUACCGGAGGAAUAAGCACCGGCUAACUUCGUGCCAGCAGCCGCGGUAAUACGAAGGGUGCAAGCGUUACUCGGAAUUACUGGGCGUAAAGGGUGCGUAGGUGGUUGUUUAAGUCUGUUGUGAAAGCCCCGGGCUCAACCUGGGAAUGGCAAUGGAUACUGGACAGCUAGAGUGCGGUAGAGGGUAGUGGAAUUCCCGGUGUAGCAGUGAAAUGCGUAGAGAUCGGGAGGAACACCAGUGGCGAAGGCGGCUACCUGGACCAGCACUGACACUGAAGCACGAAAGCGUGGGGAGCAAACAGGAUUAGAUACCCUGGUAGUCCACGCCCUAAACGAUGCGAACUGGACGUUGGGAGCAACUUGGCUCUCAGUGUCGAA
This 535-nucleotide ribosomal RNA is filed under the name uncultured bacterium. RNAcentral's name for it is "bacterial SSU rRNA". It matches the Rfam family "Bacterial small subunit ribosomal RNA", at positions 324 to 850 of the family's 1533-position model. The record is from RNAcentral.